Molecule: long non-coding RNA, 253 nt
Filed under: Elaeis guineensis (African oil palm)
Lineage: Eukaryota; Viridiplantae; Streptophyta; Magnoliopsida; Arecales; Arecaceae
Description: long non-coding RNA (EGUI_LNC022986)
Source: RNAcentral
CAUUGUCGUGCCGAGCACCGCCAUCUCCCGAAAACCCUAAUCCUUCUUCUUAAAAUCCUAACAUACCUAUUUCGAUGGACUUCGGGUGUGAGAAUCAUCGAAAUCUGUCUCGUCGGCUGCUGCUAUCUCUGCCGCAACAUCUCGGAUAAGCCCUUUUCUUCCCUUUCCUUUUUGGUCUAGGAGUCACCACUCUAGUAUGAUAGGUUGUGCCCUUUUUCGUCUUUUCUUCUUCGAUGUCCAGUCGCCACCAGCC